RNAcentral lists this ribosomal RNA (1517 nucleotides) under Mesoplasma entomophilum. RNAcentral describes it as "16S ribosomal RNA". It matches the Rfam family "Bacterial small subunit ribosomal RNA". The record is from RNAcentral. Lineage: Bacteria; Bacillati; Mycoplasmatota; Mollicutes; Entomoplasmatales; Entomoplasmataceae.
GUUUGAAUCCUGGCUCAGGAYGAACGCUGGCGGCAUGCCUAAUACAUGCAAGUCGAACGGAGGUGCUUGCACCUCAGUGGCGAACGGGUGAGUAACACGUAUCUAAUCUACCUUCUAGCGGGGGAUAACUUUUGGAAACGAAAGGUAAUACCGCAUGUGGAUGUUAUUAUCGCAUGAGAAAACAUUCAAAGAUCCGUUUGGAUCACUAGAAGAUGAGGAUGCGGCGUAUUAGCUAGUAGGCGGGGUAAAGGCCCACCUAGGCGAUGAUACGUAGCCGAACUGAGAGGUUGAUCGGCCACAUUGGGACUGAGAUACGGCCCAGACUCCUACGGGAGGCAGCAGUAGGGAAUUUUUCACAAUGGACGAAAGUCUGAUGAAGCAAUGCCGCGUGAGUGAUGACGGCCUUCGGGUUGUAAAGCUCUGUUGUAAGGGAAGAAAACAUAGGAGAGGAAAUGCUCUUAUCUUGACGGUACCUUACCAGAAAGCCACGGCUAACUAUGUGCCAGCAGCCGCGGUAAUACAUAGGUGGCAAGCGUUAUCCGGAUUUAUUGGGCGUAUAGGGUGCGUAGGCGGUUUCGCAAGUUUGAGGUUAAAGCCCGGAGCUCAACUCCGGUUCGCCUUGAAAACUGCGGGACUAGAAUAUCAGAGAGGUAAGCGGAAUUCCAUGUGUAGCGGUAAAAUGCGUAGAUAUAUGGAAGAACACCAGUGGCGAAAGCGGCUUACUGGCUGAUUAUUGACGCUGAGGCACGAAAGCGUGGGGAGCAAAUAGGAUUAGAUACCCUAGUAGUCCACGCCGUAAACGUUGAGUACUAAGUAUUGGGGAUUACCUCAGUGCUGCAGCUAACGCAUUAAGUACUCCGCCUGAGUAGUAUGCUCGCAAGAGUGAAACUCAAAGGAAUUGACGGGGACCCGCACAAGUGGUGGAGCAUGUGGUUUAAUUCGAAGCAACACGAAGAACCUUACCAGGGCUUGACAUACAGUGCAAAGCUACAGAGAUGUAGUGGAGGUUAACAUUGAUACAGGUGGUGCAUGGUUGUCGUCAGUUCGUGCCGUGAGGUGUUGGGUUAAGUCCCGCAACGAACGCAACCCUUGUCGUUAGUUACUAACAUUAAGUUGAGGACUCUAACGAGACUGCUAGUGUAAGCUAGAGGAAGGUGGGGAUGACGUCAAAUCAUCAUGCCCCUUAUGUCCUGGGCUACACACGUGCUACAAUGGCCGAUACAAAGAGUCGCAAUCUCGCGAGGGGGAGCUAAUCUCAAAAAGUCGGUCUCAGUUCGGAUUGAAGUCUGCAACUCGACUUCAUGAAGCCGGAAUCACUAGUAAUCGCGAAUCAGCUAUGUCGCGGUGAAUACGUUCUCGGGUCUUGUACACACCGCCCGUCAAACCACGAGAGUUGGUAAUACCAGAAGUACGUUUCCUAACCGUAAGGAAGGCGCGUCCCAAGGUAGGACUAGCGAUUGGGGUUAAGUCGUAACAAGGUAUCCGUACGGGAACGUGCGGAUGGAUCACCUCCUUUC